CAUAGGCAGUGACUUGGUCAAGGAAACCUACCGGAGACAUAGCGAAAGCGAAUCUUCAUAAGAUUAUUGUUACUGAUUAUGAACCUGAAACGGAGUAAUUUAUUCAUGACCAGAAUGAAGCUUAGAUGAAACCAAAUGGAGGUCCGAACCGACUGAUGUUGAUGAAUCAGCGGAUGAGCUGUAGUUAGUGGUGAAAUACCAAUCGAACCCAGAGCUAGCUGG
Nicotiana attenuata is the source of this 222-nucleotide non-coding RNA. The record is from Rfam. NCBI's taxonomy places the organism in Eukaryota, Viridiplantae, Streptophyta, Magnoliopsida, Solanales, Solanaceae.